This 253-nucleotide ribosomal RNA is filed under the name uncultured bacterium. RNAcentral's name for it is "partial 16S ribosomal RNA". It matches the Rfam family "Bacterial small subunit ribosomal RNA", at positions 524 to 776 of the family's 1533-position model. The record is from RNAcentral.
UACGUAGGGACCAAGCGUUGUCCGGAAUCAUCGGGCGUAAAGAGCGUGUAGGCGGCUUGUUAAGUCUUGCGUGAAAUCUCGGGGCUCAACCCCGAGCGGUCGUGAGAAACUGGCAGGCUAGAGUGCGGGAGAGGAGAGUGGAAUUCCUGGUGUAGCGGUGAAAUGCGCAGAUAUCAGGAGGAACACCGGUGGCGAAGGCGGCUUGCUGGGCCUUACCUGACGCUGAGGAGCGAAAGCGUGGGGAGCGAACAGG